RNAcentral lists this ribosomal RNA (1046 nucleotides) under Haloplanus sp. MaM3. RNAcentral's name for it is "bacterial SSU rRNA". It matches the Rfam family "Archaeal small subunit ribosomal RNA", at positions 52 to 1097 of the family's 1478-position model. Lineage: Archaea; Methanobacteriati; Methanobacteriota; Halobacteria; Halobacteriales; Haloferacaceae. The record is from RNAcentral.
UGCUAGUUGUACGAGUUCACACUCGUAGCAAAUAGCUCCGUAACACGUGGCCAAACUACCCUACAGAGAACGAUAACCUCGGGAAACUGAGGCUAAUAGUUCAUACCCGUCUCUCGCUGGAAUGCCGAGACGCGCAAACGCUCACGCGCUGUAGGACGUGGCUGCGGCCGAUUAGGUAGACGGUGGGGUAACGGCCCACCGUGCCGAUAAUCGGUACGGGUUGUGAGAGCAAGAACCCGGAGACGGAAUCUGAGACAAGAUUCCGGGCCCUACGGGGCGCAGCAGGCGCGAAACCUUUACACUGCACGCAAGUGCGAUAAGGGGACCCCGAGUGCGAGGGCAUACAGUCCUCGCUUUUCAGUACCGUAGGGAGGUACUGGAAUAAGAGCUGGGCAAGACCGGUGCCAGCCGCCGCGGUAAUACCGGCAGCUCGAGUGAUGGCCGAUUUUAUUGGGCCUAAAGCGUUCGUAGCCGGCCACACAAGUCCAUCGGGAAAUCCGCCAGCCUAACUGGCGGGCGUCCGGUGGAAACUGUGUGGCUCGGGACCGGAAGACCCGAAGGGUACGUCUUGGGUAGGAGUGAAAUCCUGUAAUCCUGGACGGACCGCCGAUGGCGAAAGCACUUCGGGAAGACGGAUCCGACGGUGAGGAACGAAAGCCAGGGUCUCGAACCGGAUUAGAUACCCGGGUAGUCCUGGCCGUAAACGAUGUCUGCUAGGUGUGACUCCCACUACGAGUGGGUGUUGUGCCGUAGGGAAGCCGCUAAGCAGACCGCCUGGGAAGUACGUCCGCAAGGAUGAAACUUAAAGGAAUUGGCGGGGGAGCACUACAACCGGAGGAGCCUGCGGUUUAAUUGGACUCAACGCCGGACAUCUCACCAGCAUCGACAACAGCAAUGACGGUCAGGUUGAUGACCUUGCCAGAGCUGUUGAGAGGAGGUGCAUGGCCGCCGUCAGCUCGUACCGUGAGGCGUCCUGUUAAGUCAGGCAACGAGCGAGACCCGCACUCCUAAUUGCCAGCACCGGCUUCCGGCCGGGUGGGUACAUU